This is a long non-coding RNA of Lolium rigidum, 3697 nucleotides long. RefSeq lists it as uncharacterized. The record is from RefSeq and is a predicted model, not a curated record. Lineage: Eukaryota; Viridiplantae; Streptophyta; Magnoliopsida; Poales; Poaceae. The transcript has 3 exons.
UCCACCGGAUCCCUACCCCGCCCCGCCGUUCCGCCCCUGAGCGCGACGCCGCGGCUAACCCUAGCCAUGGGGUUCGGCAGGGUCGCCGCCGCAAUUACCUCGCCGCCGCGCCUCCUGCUUCUCCUUUGCCGAGCGACUUGGCGCCGACCGCGACGAGCCCUCGCACGACGCCCUCCUCCUGUCCCGCGCGGAGGGCCCAUGCUUCACCCCGCCGUGGCCGCCCUCGAGGACCGCAGCAUCGCCCGGGACCACGACAUCCAGGGCUUCCCCGUCGACAUCAAUCGGUCCGCAUGGAGCAUCGUCGACUAGACCACCUCGAGGCCGAGGCCCGCACCGUCACCGGCGCCGCGCUUCUUAAAGUCAAGGCUACGCGAUGCUGCUGGGCGUGGAGAGGCGGCGCAAGGACGCCGACACCGGGAACGACGACGUCGGGGAGCAGAAGGAGGAGUACGGCGCGGUGCCCAUGGCCUCCGUCAGAUCCAACUCCGACGCGCACAGAGGAGACACCAUAUCCGAAGAAUACAAGGACGUGGACAUGGUGAGCACCAUGUCAGGAUCAUCGUCCUCAUUAGAUACCGGCAGAGGACACCGAUCGCGAGACGCCCACUCUAUGGGCUCGAGGUUCAGGCUGCCCGAGGAGGACUCGUGUGACUCCUAGAGCGUGGCAUCCAACUUUGAGUUCCACAAGGAGCGAGGGGCCUCCGCUCGGUCGGCGCCAGCAGCGGCGGUUCCGCCGUUCUCGAAGCACCCACCCUCGAAGUGGGACGAUGCCUAGAAAUGGAUCGUCGGCCCGACGACGAACCGUCCUAGUAGGGCCAGCAAUGGAGCUUUCCCGAGGAAGAUGGAGAAGAGUGGUUUUGGUGGUGGGAGGCUGCCGGCAACAAAGGUUGUGCUGGAGGCAACAAAGGUUGUGCUACUGUUAAGGAGUUUUCUUUGUCACUUUCAACAGUUUGGUUAAUGUCCAAGCUUCAUUCCUUAGCCUUAAGUACUCUGAGGAGGUACAUGGAACUCCUCCUUCAGUUCAGACCUGACAUGCCCAACAAAUUAUUGAACUCUGAUUUUCAUAUGUUGUUCAACCUUUACUCUACCCACUACAGUUUUAAUGUUUCCUCAACAUUCAUUUAGGCCUCUUUCCUGUCUCACCAUUUGAAAUGAUGACAGAAACUCAGCGUAUAUUGGAUAUUUAAAAAAUUGUGUACAGUAGCACUAGAGCUUGAUUUUACCCAGAUUAGUAUGUCAUAAUAUAAUUUAUUGGGCUUCUUCUUGGGCUAUGUACGGUUGCUUUGGUUAAUCAGAAGUCCAAAAGUGAAGUAUAACCUAAUGGAACUACAACAAAUGAACUUUGGUAAAUACCUUGCCACUACAUUUUUCUAUUAGUGUGUUUAUUAUAGUAGGGCCGUCUUUUCCAGCUGGUUUUUUAAUUCAUGCACCAAGGUAAUCACUAUUUGUUUCAAUGGAACUUGCAGGUUCUACAUUUUCCCGCAAAGUGAUCCCACACGACAUAAUUGUCAAGCUAGGCCUCACUAUUUAUUCAGAAGGAUUACAUGAUAUGCCUAUUUAAUCACCGUAAUAGAUUUUUCCUAUGAAAAUUCGUGUCCCCGUCCAUGAAAGACAGAGGAGAUGUCUUCUUUAUAGUAGGUUGACAGUAUAGUUGACAAGCUGACAAACAUUUAAUGUCCUGGAAGUUGCAGACUAGAGAUGAUUCCUUUUUAUGCUUGUUUUUGUCUACUUGUACUGGAGAUAGAGAAUUGGGCCAUAGUAUCUUUCCUGUGAAAUGAAAUGCUUAUGCCAUGAAAAAUUAAACUCAAAAUCAUUUGAUGUUUGUUGGUUAACAUGCAUUUGAUUCCUUCUUCCUUUUUCAUCUAAUCCCACCAUACCACCUUUUCUUCUUCUUAGGGUUCUCUUGAAUCCGUUUCAAUUGGUGAAAUAAAACUAAGUUUCCACAUGAGUGUUGUUUGCUUGUUUUUAAUUUCUGUAUGAUAUUAACAUCUAGUGUGUUUAGAAUUGUGUAGACAGUAACAUAAGUGUGUUCCUGUUUACAGACGGAUCUUCUCAAACCAAAGGUAGGAUUGAGAAGAAAAGUCCUUAUUUGCAGGAGCUACAAGACCAAAUGUGUGCAGAGUAAGGGUCGCGGGGAGGAUCCGGCCGAAGAACUCCGAUGAACUAGCUCAUGGCGCCGACUUCGAUAAUAUUGUGGAGUUGCAGCCUGAGGUUAGUAUGUCCGGCCUAUUUUACUCGCUGAGCCCGUGCUUCUUUAUUAGCAUCACCGACAUCAUGGAUUAAAGUUCUUUUGAAAUUUUUGCUCGCUAUUGCAAGUACAUUGUAUAUGAUUGGUGGAUUUUGCAGAUCAUUGUUACUCCAUGGUUGAGAGGAGAGAUUCCUGUUGCAUAGUUAGCACUAUAUUAUAAUAGAUCACAUGAUUAGUCCACCUACAAAAGUGAUGCCAUAAACUUGUUAAUUUGGUAUAUGUAAAGUGAGUUAUCUGAAUUUGUGAAAAAUCUCUCUGCUGUUUGCUAAGAAAUUUAACUGUAGCUUUACGGGCUUGGCUAGUCGAUUCUAUGUAGUUCCCUUUUGUUUGAGAUUUUGGAAUGUAGACAGAGGCACGCUGAUGAUAGCUGAGUCCGCACGCUGAUGAAAUUAUAUCUCGUAUUAGUGAUAAUGUUUUUUCUUUCUUUUAUCCGCAAGUUCUGUUUGUUCUGGGUGGCAGGGAAGGGUGGGGAUGACGCUCUCCAAGUGCUGGAUCUGAAGGCCGGAGGUUGAGGUAAUGCCCCAGUAUUAUUAUUUUGUGGAUCGGCUCCACCAACGCCUCACCAAGGCGAAGAUAUUCGAGGAGUACACAAUUCCUUGAUUAUUGGCAGUAGUGCUCCAAAUUUCUAUAUGUGGUACUUUAUACGGUAAUAUUAGCUUGCUGUUAUGCAUGGCUAGCUCACAAUACAUUUAGUUGAGCAUAUGCAACAGGAGUAUCGUACUACAAGUUGAUUGCUGCAUUGAACUAAGCCCUUGCUGAAUAUAUGUAUUAGUGAUGUAAAAUGUUAUCUAGCCAUUAUUUGCAUUAGAAAUUAGAAAAUAUAUUUAUGUAGCCUUUCAAAGGUUUAUGAACUGCCGAGUGAUGUGCUCUUUUUUUGUUCUUAUUAUUUCUUGGUGAAUGUUAACUAAUGGACUGCUAAGUAUGUAGGAAAAAAAGACAAAACACCAGUUCUGUAUUUCAUUGCCUGUUCUAAGCUGCUAAGUUUUUGUGUUGUUGCCACUUAGGUACAUGGUUGUUGAAGAACAUAGGUAGUGCAUCCUAAUAUAUUGGUUUUUACAAAAAAUACGUUUUUGGUAUAUCCUCUUAGUUAGAUAGUACAUCAUACUGACUUGGAGGUCCUUCAUCCAGUGCCACACACAUAUUGAAAUCCGGCCGGGGCCAUAUCAUAACACACUCCCAUAAAUUUUAGAAGUUUACCAUAUAUAUCAGUAUCUGGUUCAAAACAGUAAACUUACUCUUAGAAGUUUGCUGCUCAUCACUUUCUCGUGUUCCCAUGUAGAAUGUUGAAUUAGCUCUUAUUCCCUAUUAACUGACUCUGAUUUAUUACAACUUUUUACUAAAUCAGAAUCAAUUAAUAGGGAACACAGGGAGUACUUGCUUGCUUAUAUCACACCCUUUUCAUGCUACCCCCUACAAAAAAAGAUUGGCAAUUGAAAUUCUUUGGACAGU